CCCUACUCCUACGGGAGGCAGCAGUAGGGAAUCUUCCGCAAUGGACGAAAGUCUGACGGAGCAACGCCGCGUGAGUGAUGAAGGUUUUCGGAUCGUAAAACUCUGUUGUUAGGGAAGAACAAGUACGAGAGUAACUGCUCGUACCUUGACGGUACCUAACCAGAAAGCCACGGCUAACUACGUGCCAGCAGCCGCGGUAAUCAC
RNAcentral lists this ribosomal RNA (204 nucleotides) under Niallia nealsonii. RNAcentral describes it as "Bacillus nealsonii 16S ribosomal RNA". It matches the Rfam family "Bacterial small subunit ribosomal RNA", at positions 331 to 526 of the family's 1533-position model. Lineage: Bacteria; Bacillati; Bacillota; Bacilli; Caryophanales; Bacillaceae. The record is from RNAcentral.